UGCCAUAAUUGCGAUUUGUUUUUAAGACUUUUCGUCUAACAGAGUUUUACUUUCUCAGUUCUCUUCUGUAAGAGGUUUACUUUCUCUUCUAUAAGAGUUAAUUCGGAAGUGGAACCAUCCAAAUCUUGUUGGUUUUAUUCAAAGAGUGAAUCUUUCCGUGGUUGAUUUAUCAUUUUCACCUUUCUCGAUUUUCUUCUCCGCUACUAGUUCCUUUUUUGAAAUCCUAUUUUUUGCUCUUUUUUUUUUCUUUUGGUAUUCUCAAAUUUCGCGUCUUGAGAUUUGGGUUUUUGAUACUGUUUUUCCGUGAAGAGUGUGGACUUCUCUGAGAAAAAUGGUCGUUCAUCUUCUGGUCAUUUGAAAAGAUGGCACAAAUUCUCAGAAUCCAACAUUUUGGAAUUUGCUAGCUCUUAGAAAAAAAUGGCUCUGGCUUUUAUCACUGCUUUGGUGUUUGCUUGUUUAUGGUCAUCUGUUUCACCAGAUGGUCAAGGGGAUGCACUAUUUGCGUUGAGGAGCUCGUUACGUGCGACUCCUGAACAGCUAAGCGACUGGAACCAGAAUCAAGUAGAUCCUUGUACUUGGUCUCAAGUUACUUGUGAUGACAACAAGCAUGUUACUUCAGUUACCUUGUCUUACAUGAACUUCUCGUCGGGAACUUUAUCUUCACGAAUAGGAAUCUUGAAAACUCUAAAGACUCUUACAUUGAAGGGAAAUGGAAUUACGGGUGGAAUACCAGAAUCCAUUGGAAACCUCUCUAGCUUAACAAGCUUGGAUUUGGAGGAUAAUCAGUUAACUGGUCGCAUACCAAUCACUCUCGGUAAUCUCAAGAACCUCCAGUUCUUGACACUGAGUAGGAAUAACCUAAAUGGGACUAUCCCGGAUUCACUCACAGGCCUUUCAAAACUGAUAAAUAUUUUGCUGGACUCAAAUAAUCUCAGCGGUGAGAUUCCUCACGGUUUAUUCAAAAUUCCAAAAUACAAUUUCACAGCAAACAUCUUGAGCUGUGGUGGCACUUACCCUCGCCCUUGCGUAACCGAGUCCACUCCUUCAGGUGAUUCAAGCAAUUCAAAAACUGGAGUUAUCGCUGGAGUUGUUACCGGGAUCACAGUUAUUCUCCUUGGAUUCUUUCUGUUUUUCUUCUGCAAGGAUAAGCAUAAAGGAUACAGACGCGAAGUGUUUGUAGAUGUUGCAGGUGAAGUGGACAGAAGGAUUGCGUUUGGACAGCUGAGAAGGUUUUCAUGGAGAGAGCUUCAGUUGGCAACAGAUGAGUUCAGCGAAAAGAACGUUCUUGGACAAGGAGGCUUUGGGAAAGUGUACAAAGGAGUGCUUUUGGAUGGCACGAAAGUCGCAGUGAAAAGAUUGACUGAUUUUGAACGACCAGGAGGAGACGAAGCAUUCCAGAGAGAAGUCGAAAUGAUAAGUGUAGCUGUUCAUAGGAAUCUGCUUCGCCUUAUCGGCUUUUGCACUACACAAACCGAACGCCUUUUGGUGUAUCCGUUCAUGCAGAAUCUAAGUGUUGCAUAUCGGUUAAGAGAGAUUAAACAUGGCGAUCCAAUUCUGGACUGGUUCAGGAGGAAACAGAUUGCGCUAGGCGCAGCACGAGGACUCGAAUAUCUUCAUGAACAUUGUAAUCCAAAGAUCAUACAUCGAGAUGUGAAGGCUGCAAAUGUGUUACUAGAUGAAGAUUUUGAGGCAGUGGUUGGUGAUUUUGGUUUAGCCAAGUUGGUAGAUGUUAGAAGAACCAACGUGACCACUCAGGUCCGUGGAACAAUGGGUCACAUUGCACCUGAAUGUAUAUCCACAGGAAAAUCAUCAGAGAAGACUGAUGUUUUCGGGUAUGGAAUCAUGCUUCUGGAGCUCGUAACAGGACAAAGAGCCAUUGAUUUCUCGCGGUUAGAGGAAGAAGAUGAUGUCUUAUUGCUAGACCAUGUGAAAAAAUUGGAAAGAGAGAAGAGAUUAGGAGACAUUGUAGACAAGAAGCUUGAUGAGGAUUACAUGAAGGAGGAAGUUGAGAUGAUGAUACAAGUUGCCUUGCUGUGCACGCAAGCAGCACCUGAAGAACGACCAGCCAUGUCGGAAGUUGUGAGGAUGCUCGAAGGAGAAGGGCUUGCAGAGAGAUGGGAAGAAUGGCAGAAUCUUGAAGUCACGAGACAAGAAGAGUUUCAGAGGUUGCAGAGGAGAUUUGAUUGGGGUGAAGAUUCGAUUAACAAUCAAGAUGCCAUUGAGUUAUCUGGUGGAAGAUAGAAAAUGGAGAUUGCGCUAGGCGCAGCACGAAGACUCGAAUAUCUUCAUGAACAUUGCAAUCCAAAGAUCAUACAUCGAGAUGUGAAGGCUGCAAAUGUGUUACUAGAUGAAGAUUUUGAGGCAGUGGUUGGUGAUUUUGGUUUAGCCAAGUUGGUAGAUGUUAGAAGAACCAACGUGACCACUCAGGUCCGUGGAACAAUGGGUCACAUUGCACCUGAAUGUAUAUCCACAGGAAAAUCAUCAGAGAAGACUGAUGUUUUCGGGUAUGGAAUUAUGCUUCUGGAGCUUGUAACAGGACAAAGAGCCAUUGAUUUCUCGCGGUUAGAGGAAGAAGAUGAUGUCUUAUUGCUAGACCAUGUGAAGAAAUUGGAAAGAGAGAAGAGAUUAGGAGACAUUGUAGACAAGAAGCUUGAUGAGGAUUACAUGAAGGAGGAAGUUGAGAUGUCUAAAACCAGAGAGGUUGCUGGGUCCAGUGGUUUAUAUCGUUUCCGGUUAAAUAGAUAUUUUGGUUUGUUUUUUGUAUUGAUCGGUUUAGUAGAAUGGGAAGAAACUCCGUCAAUGUUUCAGACUCC
Eutrema salsugineum is the source of this 2813-nucleotide RNA transcript. It is a transcript of the gene named probable LRR receptor-like serine/threonine-protein kinase At5g65240, with no coding region annotated. Lineage: Eukaryota; Viridiplantae; Streptophyta; Magnoliopsida; Brassicales; Brassicaceae. The record is from RefSeq and is a predicted model, not a curated record. The transcript is spliced from 13 exons.